RNAcentral lists this ribosomal RNA (479 nucleotides) under uncultured bacterium. Its description in RNAcentral is "bacterial SSU rRNA". It matches the Rfam family "Bacterial small subunit ribosomal RNA", at positions 26 to 521 of the family's 1533-position model. The record is from RNAcentral.
AGAAUAAACGUUGGCGGUGCGCCUUAUGCAUGCAAGUCGAACGGGGUUACGGUUUUCGGAUUGUAACCUAGUGGCGAACGGCUGAGUAACACGUAAGUAACCUGCCUUGGAGUGGGAAAUAACCUGUCGAAAGACAGGCUAAUGUCCCAUGUUGUAACGAAGCAUAAGCCUUGUUACCAAAGCCUUCGGGUGCUCCGAGAAGGGCUUGCGUCCGAUUAGCUUGUUGGUGGGGUAACGGCCCACCAAGGCUAUGAUCGGUAGCUGGUCUGAGAGGAUGGUCAGCCAGAUGGGGACUGAGACACGGCCCCAACUCCUACGGGAGGCAGCAGCAAGGAAUCUUGGGCAAUGGGCGGAAGCUUGACCCAGCGACACCGCGUGAGGGAUGAAGGCCUUCGGGUUGUAAACCUCUUUUCUUGGGGAAGAAUUUUGACGGUACCCAAGGAAUAAGCCUCGGCCAACUACGUGCCAGCAGCCGCGGU